CUUACUUCUAAUAACUGAGCAUUAGUACCACAUCCUCAGACUGACCUUGAAUGGAGCUUGAUAUGGAGCGGAUUACGAGGAGUGGUUGCAAUGAGGAGUUGUCGGUUGAACUUCCACCAUUGAACUUCCAGGAGCGUCAGUUGAUGGGAGGACGCAUUCCCACAAAGGGACCAGGAAUUAGUGUACAUUCUGAGUUGGACUGGAAUAAAGUUUUAUUUUUAUUUUUAUUGAAGCGGGUCAUCGUUGCUCGUGAAGGCGUCCAGUUGCUUCACCUGCCCUCGAAAGCAGUUGCGUUGAGGAGUCAUGCUGUUGCCUCCAGUUUUUAUGGCGUACGCACUUCUUGUCCGUUGCUUUUAGAGAGCCGAUACAGCUCAGGUUGUGUCCCUCUACAACCCACUGACAGUGGAUGAUAGCUGCCGACGUUUCGCAACGUAGUUGAGCGCGCCUGGUGCUGCAGUCUAGGGGUGUUUCAAAGCAGGGAAGACUACGUGAAUUGGCAGAUGCAUCAAUACCUGGUACUCUACAGCCUGGCAUCAAGGAUCUGAUAAGACUUGUUACCUUGGACUUGAGUGGAAACAAACUUGUGAACAGAUUUCCUACGCAUUUUAACACCGAAGGAACCCUGCAAAGUUUCAAAAUUGGACGAAACAUACUUGAUGGUGACAUAGCGAUGAAUUCUUCUGAAAUUUUGACUCAAUUGCUCACAUUUUUUCAAAGCAUUUUAGUUCCGGUCGUGGGAGGUGACAAUCAAGAUGGGAUCUGUCCAGCAACAGCUUCACAGGGUCAAUAUCAAAUUUCACAAACCUAAUAAAUCUGUAUAACCUUACUACGCAUGAUUCGGAAGCACAUUAAAUUAUUUCAACCUUGGGAAUCAAACUUUUAUCCAUUGUGCGACGUGCAUGAUAAUCUUUUUAAGGUGGCACUUUAUGAAACCAGUGAUAAUCAAACAGUGAAUUCAUGCUGCCGGAAUAUCAGUCGCAACAACUUCACAAAUCUACCUCAACUCAUAGCUUUUCAACGGGUGGCUUCGACCCAAUAGCCAGCUAGGAGUGCUGGAUGUUUCAAGCCUCAAGUUUGGAGGUGUUUGACCAGAUUGGAACUCGAUUCCAUAUCUGCUAUCAUUGGAGAGACUGUGCCUUGACAACAUCAAUAUGAAUGGAAGUUUGGAUUUGAUCAGCAUGCAAUCCAGCAUUCAAAAUCUGAAGAAAAGUAAUAAAAGGAUUUUACGAGUAUUGAGUUUAAGAAACCAUCACAUUUUGAAUGUGAACUUUGACAAAUCCUUCAUAACAAGUAGAGGGAUCCUUCUCAAGGAAACCCAUAUUGUGAUGACUCUUCAAAAGAUGUGAAUGGAAAAAGAUGUUAUUGUGAGCAAUAUUGUCAGACAUCUUUUUGAUGAAUCAAAGAAUAUAAAUUGGAAAAUCAUUGUCAUCCCAACGUCAAUAUGUAUAUUUUUAUUGGGAUCAGUGUUCUUAUGCAUUCUUUAAAUACUCCAUCAAAGAAACAAAAAUGAUUUGAUGAAAUUGAUGUAAGAACAAAACAAUUUGAUUAAAAGAAUUAUGUAUUGCAACAAAAAACUUUGCUAAGGAGAAAAAGCUAGGACAAGGAUCAUAUGGUGCUGUGUACAAGUAAAAAAACUUUUUUUAAAGACUAAAAAGGCAAGUGAGGAAUUCUUAAAUGAAGUACUUUUAAUCUCAAAUCUUCAACACUGCAACCUUGUAUCUCUUAAAAGGAUAUUGCAUCCAUGACAAAGAGAUGCUUUUAGUUUAUGACUUCGUUGAGUAUGGUGACCUUGACAAGCUACUACUCCAAGGAUCCAAGAGCAUAGGACGUGUAUGGCAAGUGGUAAUUUGGCCUGCAAGAAUGCAUAUAUUUUUCGGCAUAGCUCAUGGUCUUUAUUAUCUCCAUGCAUCAUCUCAAACAAAAAUUAUUCAUUGCAAUAUCAAGACUAGUAAUAUUCAAUUAAAUAAGAAUCUUAAUCCAAAAAUUGCAGACUUUGGCCUAGCAAGGCUAAUUCAAUAUGAAAGAAGUGAAAUUAUGGCCCAACAAUGAGCUAGCACAGUGUGCGCACAUAUUUCAAGCUCAUGAGUAAAGAUAUCUAUUAUAUUUAAUCAUGUAUAAUAUCAAUUAGUUGAAGUUUUCUUAACACUUAAAACAUUUUUAAACAUGAUUUGUGCAGAGGGUACUUAGCACCAGAAUACAUGCUGUAUGGUCAACUAAGUGAGAAGGCUGAUGUUUAUUGUUUGGUGUUUUACUUUUGAGAUUGUGAGUGGAACAAGAAAUAAAGAUCCAACCAAAUAAAUAUUUUACUAAUAUUUAGUCUUAAAUCUAUGUUGCCUUAAGCUAUUGUAUGAGAUGAUUUUAAAUAUAUUUUCAU
Physcomitrium patens is the source of this 2374-nucleotide non-coding RNA. NCBI's taxonomy places the organism in Eukaryota, Viridiplantae, Streptophyta, Bryopsida, Funariales, Funariaceae. The record is from RefSeq and is a predicted model, not a curated record.